UUAACUUACACCCACACCGCCAGGGGAUUACGAGCAAUGCUUAAAACCCAAAGGAUUUGACGGUGUCCCACCCCACUAGAGGAGCCUGUUCUAUAAUCGAUGAUCCCCGCUUCACCUAACCAUUCCUCGCCCAUCAGUCUGUAUACCUCCGUCGAAAGCUUACCAUGUGAACGUCCGCAGUAGGCUCAAUGAUUCCCCAUCAAUACGUCAGGUCAAGGUGCAACUUAAGGAAUGGCAAGCAAUGGGCUACAAUUUCUAAUUUAGAACAAACGAAAGACUAUGUGAAACCCUAGUCAUGAAGGUGGAUUUAGUAGUAAAAAGAAACUAGAGUGUUCUUUUUAACCCGGCUCUGGGACGCGUACACACCGCCCGUCACCCUCUUCGAUAGUACCACAUCUGUUAAUAACCCUAUAUCACGUUUUAGAAGAGGCAAGUCGUAACAUGGUAAGUGUACUGGAAAGUGCACUUGGCUCACUA
RNAcentral lists this ribosomal RNA (477 nucleotides) under Rana omeimontis (Omei wood frog). RNAcentral describes it as "partial 12S ribosomal RNA". It matches the Rfam family "Bacterial small subunit ribosomal RNA", at positions 853 to 1533 of the family's 1533-position model. The record is from RNAcentral. Lineage: Eukaryota; Metazoa; Chordata; Amphibia; Anura; Ranidae.